RNAcentral lists this long non-coding RNA (10125 nucleotides) under Vitis vinifera (wine grape). Its description in RNAcentral is "long non-coding RNA (VVIN_LNC005365)". Lineage: Eukaryota; Viridiplantae; Streptophyta; Magnoliopsida; Vitales; Vitaceae. The record is from RNAcentral.
UGUAGGGACCCCUCCUCCUGAGAACACGUGCCACACACCUCAUAUUGACACGUAGCACGCAGACUAUCCGGAUCACCCCAUCUGGAUACACAUGACGCUCCCUCAUAUCCGGCCUGCCUCAAGGAAGGUCAAACGACACUUAUAAACAUAAAACAUCCGGACGGCUUCCACGAUACAUCCGGAUGACCAACGUAGUCCAUCCGGAUAUAAUGGUCCGGAUCAUUGACUGAAGUAAGCAAGUCUCACACGUUAUCACAAUAGCCUGUCAUGGCCCACGUUCCACCACCUGCAGAGUGAAGGGACAAGAUGAAGUGACAACAAGUCACUUCCCACGAUCACUUCACAUGAUCACCUACCACGAUCUCUGUCAGCCGCCUGUAGGGUGAUGGUAGCCCUGCCACCACCUAAUGUCAUCAUAACAACACAAAAUAUCUCCCUGCCAUUAAAGAGGGAAUCAAAGCUUCUGAUACUAUAUAUAUCAACCUUCACACAAAGAGGAAGGUAAGCUUGCAAUACCUAGUAAAAAGCCAACUGAUUAUCUCUCUCUAACCAUGGCUGACAAAACCAUCGGAGGGUGCGUCCGGACACCCUGUCCGGACGUCUUUUGCAGGUAAACCGACUGAAUCAAGAACCUGUAUUGGUUGAGAACUACGCAUCCAUCCAUUUGGAAACUACGUGGAUCGUCAGGGAUGCGAGGUAUCAACAUUGGCGCCGUCUGUGGGGACUUUUUCAUUUUGAUUCAGUUACUAGCAAAGAUGGCCACACCUUCCCGAAGCCGUUCAUCUGGUAGGGGAGAGGAAGAUAAUUUUGAGUGGCGUCAAACCAUCGAAAAAAGGCAGUUGGCAAGCGAACGACAACUAAAAGCUCUCAUCUCAGGAGACAGAAAGAUUGAGAGAAGAAAACGCUGUGUUACGCAUCCAGGCUUCAACAUCAGGACCUCCUCGGCGUUAGCGUUCAAAAGGCUAAGUAGCAAACUCAAGGCCUCAACAAGAACCAGAAUCAAUAUAUCCCGGAACAACAGGAGCUAUCCUAGGAGCAUGCAACGUGAGGCCUCAUGAGCCACACACGCCUAUGCCCCGAGCUCCCCGUGAGGAAAGCUCAGACUCUACUCACUUCUCAGCAAAAAGACAAUGCGAUAGAAGACCUCAGUUGUCAAAUUCAAUGCGCGCAAGACUAGGUCCACAAGAGCCUGGGAGACCAAGGCCACCAGUAGCCACAACCUGGGCACCACACCUUGACCCUAUGGUCACCCCCAUGGUGCAGAACGUGCACCCGCAUCGUGACCCCAUGGUCACCCCCGUGAUGCGGAACGUUCAUUCGCACCCAGCGGUAUAGCAAGCUGGGGGAAACUUCCCUAACGAGCCACCCAUUGGUUCCAUCAGCAAAAGGCUAGAUGACAUGCUCUCUACGCCUUUUUGCUCUCACAUCAUUCAUUACGAGCCCCCAAGAGGAUUCCUCGUACCAAAAUUUUCCACAUACGACGGGACCAGCGAUCCCUUCGAUCAUAUCAUGCAUUAUCGACAGCUCAUGACGCUUGAUAUUGGCAACGACGCACUGCUGUGCAAAGUAUUUCCCGCAAGCCUACAAGGGCAGGCCCUAUCAUGGUUUCAUCGCCUACCUCCCAACUCUGUUGGCAAUUUCAGGGAUCUGUCCGAAGCUUUCGUCGGACAAUACCUAUGCUUCGCUCAACACAAACAGAACAUCAGCACUCUGCAGAACAUAAAAAUGCAGGACAACUAAUCCUUAAGGGAAUUCGUGAAGCGGUUUGACCAAGCCGUACUUCAAGUAGAGGCUUGCAACAUGGAUGCUGUCCUACAGAUCUUCAAGCGAAACAUCUGUCCAGGCACUCCAUUUUUCGAAUCACUAGCCAAAAAGCCUCCUACAACGAUGGACGACUUGUUCAGACGAGCCAACAAAUAUUCAAUUCUCGAAGAUGACGUACGUGCAGCCACCCAGCAAGUUUUGGUUGCCGGACGGCCAUCUAGAGGUGAAGCGGAAAGAAAUGCUAAACCUCCGGACCGGCCAAGGCCGUCUGACCGAAGGCUUAUCUGACUUCAGGUGGCCAAGACCCCAAGGAACAGACCCAUCCACAAGGGAUCAUAGCAAGAGAUGUGCCUUCCACAAGGAACACGGUCACACGACAGAAACAUAUAGGAGCCUCCAGUAUCUAGUUGAGAAGUUCAUCAAGGCAGGACAUCUAAAGCAAUAUCUCCGCUCAGAUACUGAAGGAAAAGUCACUUCCCAACAUCACAAUCCUGGAGCCCCCAGGGCCCCAGCCGCCCCUAAGGCCAUUAUAAACUAUAUUAACGGAUGUCCAUCUGACGAGCAGUAUGAUUCUAGGCGAAAAAGGCAAAAAUUAUUGCGGGCCGCAUCAAUACGCGAACGCAUCAAUUCCAUUCGGCCUGGACUAACUGGAGGGGGCCCUCGCCCUAUAGAUGGGACAAUCAUUUUCGCACCAGUGGAUCCCACCCGAACAUUGCAGCCACAUCGCGACGCUCUCAUCCUGUCUCUAGAAAUAGGAGACUUCGAUGUGAGACGUAUCCUGGUUGACCCAAGCAGCUCGGCCGAUCUUGUGCAAGCAUCGGUCGUUGCCCACAUGGGACACAGUCUCGCGGGCCUUGAAAACCUUGGACGAAUCCUAUCCGGGUUCAACGGAUCGUCAACCACAUCCUUGGGAGACAUCAUACUGCCGGUCCAAGCUGGCCCAGUCACUCUCAACGUACAAUCUCGGUGGUACAAGAGUUAUCACCCUUCAAUAUCAUCUUGGGGCGCACAUGGCUACACUACAUGAAAGCCAUCCCCUCUACAUAUCAUCAAAUGGUGAGUUUCCUCACCAACGAAGGGCAAAUUGACUUAUAUGGCAGCCAGCUGGCCGCUCGCCAAUGCUAUCAGAUAGCACGAGAAGCAGGGGCCAACCAGGAGGAUGCAUCUCCCCCUGAACCCAGCCAUACACAUACCCAAUAGUAAUUAUUGGGUCCGACGGACAAAGAUUCCCCGACAGCAGAUCCCUUACAAACGAUCCAAAUUUCGGAGGAAAACACUCAUUUCACCAACAUCAGUUCCCUCAUGACGACCGAAGAAACUCAGAGCAUGCAAAAUAUUCUCAAAUGGAAUCAUGACAUCUUCGCAUGGGCACAUUCUGAUAUGAAGGGAAUUCAUCCCUCUAUUGCAUCUCACAGGCUUAACGUCAUUUCAACUGCCAAACCCGUCCGGCAGAAGAUUAGGCGCUUUCACCCGGAUAGACAAAAAGUCAUCCGAAAUGAGAUUGACAAAUUGCUGGAAGCCGGAUUCAUCAGAGAAGUAGCUUAUCCGGAUUGGUUAGCCAACGUAGUAGUGGUACCAAAAAAAAAAAGGAAAAUGGCGGGUUUGCGUCGAUUACACCAACCUCAAUAAUGCAUAUCCAAAAGACAGUUUCCCUUUACCACGAAUAGAUCAAAUUGUGGAUUCCACUGCCGGGCAAAGGAUGCUUUCUUUCUUGGAUGCCUUCUCCGGAUAUCACCAGAUUCCCAUGGCUCCGGCUGACGAGGAAAAAACAACAUUCAUAACGCCAUACGGCCUCUACUGCUACAAAGUCAUGCCAUUCGGACUCAAAAACGCUGGCGCCACCUAUCAGAGACUGAUGACAAAGAUCUUCAAACCUCUAAUAGGCCACACGGUAGAGGUAUAUAUUGAUGAUAUCGUGGUUAAAAGCAAAACCCGAGAGGAGCAUGUUCUUCAUUUACAAGAAGUUUUUCACCUCUUAAGGAAGUAUGACAUGAAGCUAAAUCCUUCCAAAUGCGCCUUUGGCGUAAGUGCUGACAAAUUUCUGGGUUUUAUGGUCAACUAAAGAGGGAUAGAGGUUAGCCCGGAUCAAGUCAAGGCAGUCAUGGAAACACCUCCUCCCAGGAGCAAGAAAGAAUUACAACGCCUCACAGGCAAACUCGUCGCACUAGGGUGUUUUAUAGCCCGCUUCACUGAUGAAUUGCGACCUUUCUUCUUGGCAAUUCGAAAGGCUGGAGCAAAUGGAUGGACGGACAGCUGUCAAAACGCUUUUGAAAAGAUCAAACAUUGUCUUACGCAGCCGCCCAUCUUGAGCAGUCCCGUUCCAAAAGAAAAAUUGUACAUAUAUCUGGCUGUAUCGGAGUAGACAAUCAGCGCUGUUCUAUUUCGCUGCCCCUCACCCAAGGAGCAGAAACCAAUCUACUACGUCAGCAGAGCAUUGACAGACGUAGAAACCCGAUAUUCAAAAAUGGAGCUCACAGCCUUAGCCCUUCGUAGCUCUGCCCAGAAGCUCCGCCCCUAUUUCCAAGCCCACCCGGUGGUCGUGCUGACCGAUCAGCCCCUUCGCAACAUUUUGCACAAGCCAAAUUUAACCGGCAGAAUGCUGUAGUGGGCUAUCGAAUUGAGCGAAUUUGGAAUCGAAUUCCAACCCAGGUUGUCCAUGAAAGGCCAAGUAAUGACUGAUUUCGUGCUAGAAUAUUCCCAAAGGCCUAACCAGCACCAGGAAUCAAAUGAAAAAGAAUGGUGGACUUUGCGAGUUGAUGGAGCUUCACGAUCAUCAAGGUCCGGAGUCGGGCUUCUACUACAAUCCCCAACCGGUGAGCACCUGGAGCAAGCCAUCCGGCUGGGAUUCCCUACCUCUAACAAUGAAGCAGAAUAUGAAGCCAUCUUAUCCGGAUUAGACCUCGCCUUGGCUCUAUCCGUCUCCAAACUCCGGGUCUAUAGCGAUUCGCAACUUGUAGUAAGACACAUUCAGGAGGAAUACGAGGCCAAGGAUGCGCGCAUGGCGCAAUAUCUAACUAAAGUAAAGGACACCUUACAGCAAUUCACCGAAUGGACAGUCGAAAAAAUAAGGCGAACUGAAAAUGGGCGCGCUGACGCCUUGGCCGGUAUAGCUGCCUCCCUCCCUAUCAAAGAAGCCAUUCUAUUGCCUAUACAUGUGCAAACCGACCCUUCUGUCGUAGGAAUCUCCAUUUGCAACACCAUUGAGGCAAACCAAACAAACGACCAAGAGUGGACGGACAAUAUUGCAGAAUAUCUCCGGACAGACACUCUACCUGGAGAUCCCAAACAGGCACACAAAAUCCGGGUGCAAGCUGCCCGUUUCACCUUAAUUGGGGGGCACUUGUACAAACGAUUCUUCACAGGACCUUACCUUCGGUGCCUAGGGCAUUCAGAGGCCCAAUAUGUGUUAGCUGAGUUACACGAGGGAGUAUGCCGGAAUCAUUCAGGAGGACGAUCUCUGGCACAUAGAGCCCAUUCGCAAGGAUAUUAUUGGCCAAAAAUGAAGAAGGAUGCGACAACCUAUGUCAAAAAAUGUGAUAAAUGUCAAAAGUAUGCUCCCAUUCCACAUAUACCGUCAGCAACAUUAAAAUCAAUCUCAACCCCAUAGCCCUUUGCGCAAUGGGGCAUGGACAUAGUAGGACCCCUCCCAGCUACACCUGCCCAAAAGAAAUUUCUGCUCGUCGCCACAGAUUACUUCAGUAAAUGGGUAGAAGCUGAAGCAUAUGCAAGCAUCAAAGACAAAGAUGUCACCAAGUUUGUAUGGAAAAACAUCGUCUGCCGUUUUGGAAUUCCACAAACUAUCAUAGCUGACAAUGGUCCUCAAUUUGACAACAUCGCAUUCAGAAAAUUCUGUUCGGAGCUGAAUAUCCGGAAUUCAUACUCCACACCGCGUUAUCCUCAAAGCAACGGGCAAGUAGAAGCCACAAACAAAACUCUGAUCACUGCCUUAAAGAAAAGACUCGAACAAGCCAAAGGAAAAUGGGUGGAGGAGCUACCCGGUGUCCUAUGGGCCUAUCGAACCACACCCGGACGACCAACAGGAAACACUCCCUUCGCCCUCGCAUACGGUAUGGACGUAGUAAUUCCUACCGAAAUUGGGUUACCCACUAUCCGGACUGAAGCAGCAAAAAAGGAUGAUGCAAAUGCAGAAUUAGGAAGAAACUUGGACUGGGCAGAUGAAGUAAGAGAAAGCGCAGCCAUCCGGAUGGCAGACUAUCAACAAAGAGCAUCCACCCAUUACAAUUGCAAAGUAAGGCCCAGGAACUUCAAAAAUGGUACGCUAGUCCUUAGAAAAGUUUUUGAAAACACUGCUAAAAUGGGCGCAGAGAAAUUCCAAGCUAACUGGGAAGGACCCUAUAUAGUGUCAAAGGCAAGUGAAAGUGGAGCCUAUCAUCUACAAAAGUUAGACGGAAUUCCAUUACUCAGACCAUGGAAUCUGUCGAAUUUAAAGCAGUAUUAUCAAUAAAAGCAAGAGACAAAAGACAAAUACAAAUGUAAAAAAUUUAUGUUUUAUUGAUGUUUGUGAAGUAUGUACAAGGAGGUCUCCAGACCACAGAAAGUGCAGAAAGAAGAUUACAACAAAAAUUGCAAAAAGAGAAAAGCUAUCAGGGAACGGGCUUGUCUAAAAGUUUCUUUUCUUCACCCGGACGGAUUGAAGGGACAUCCCGCUUGAUGCCGUUCUUCUUCAUACAGCAGCGAUAGCCGAAGAAGAACAUGUCAUCCACUUGCUUUUGGUAGUCCGCUUCAAGUGCCUCCCUGUCUGCAGCAAACUCUCCCUCUAGCUCCUCUUUUUGCGCUACCAGGCGCAGCUGCAGAUCCUCUUUCUGCUUCUUUUCAAUCGAAGCCUCCGUUCGGAGUUGCCUCACGUCCCCCCUUAGCCGGGCCAUCUCAUCUUCUGCCUCAUGCAGGCGGGCCUCCAUCGAUUCCUCCCGGCUCUUUGCCUCAGCCAAAUCCGUCCGGAGGGCCUCAUUCUCCCCCCGAGCGGUGGAUAAACUGGCUUCGGCCUCCGCCAGUCUCAAGCGCAGCUGAUCUUCACUAUUUUUUCGCUGAGACGCGAAGGCCUUCAUAUAAUCAGUGGUUUGCAGCAAGUCAGUGAAUAAAUCGUGUUGUUGAGCCAUGCCGCGAAGACCACUCACCAGCUGCAUACAAGCACACAAACAAGAAAAGCAAAGUUAUAAAUCAUACCAUAAAAACACAUCAGAGUGACAAAGAAUCAAGAAGCAAAAAACAGUAUACCGUUUCCACCAUCUCGAACAUCUUGGCUGAAGGCAUGACAGUGGUCAAGCCGAGUGGAAUCUGUUUCAGCUUCUCUUCCAACUCCGCGUAGCUAAAAGGGCUAGUGGAGGUGCAAGCCGCAUCAUUAACAGAAUUCCCCCCUGAUGAGGCAAUAGAAGGCGACUCCUCUUCCGGAUUCGGGGCCUCAACAUUUUUGGCCAGAUAGGUCUCUCCGGGAGCAUCCUCAUCCGGGACCACCACCGGGACGGCUAAAGUCUCAAUUGCCAUCUCCACCUCUCUCCCCUCCGGAUGAGCAUCGUGGGCGGAUGAGCAACUAACUUCAAUCUCUUGCAAUCGAUCUUGAAGCCGCCCGAUGAGUCCGGACUUUAGAUUGCGCGCCGAGCACGACCUCUUUGAAGGUGACCCUUUUACCAGAACAAGUGCGAGAUGGUUUGGAUUGUCAGAGGGCUGACUCUGGCUUUCUGCCCCCGUUUCCUCCAUUGGAGUCGCACAAAGGGCCUCAGCUGCAUCAGCAUCUGGAUGGGGGGAGCCGGGAUGGUUUAUGGACGCAGCUUCCUUAGCCAAAGUAGCCAAACGGGCAACCGCCGACAAGGAGGGCCCCGAAUGGUUUAGUUCCGCGACGUGUCCGGGGCCACUUGAAAUGGAGUGGGGGGCAGGGUUCGCUGGCUCCUCUAUUAUUACCUCCGCCGCAUGAGUAAUAAGCGGAGGAACAAAUUCCUUUGGGGGGGUGGGCUCCUUCACUCCCUUCCCAUUUUUGACCAGCUUCCUCUUUUUUGCUGGGGCUUUCCUUGGAGGGGAGGCUGCGCUGCGUUUCUGUCCAGGAGCCUUCCGUAGAGUUCCCUCGUUUUUUCUCUUCUCCCGAUCAUCAAGGAGUGCUCGGCGUUUUUCAGCAUCAGCUUCUUUCACCUCCUGAUAGAUAGGGAGAUCCUUCAGAAUGUAAUGCUCCCCAGGCACUACCUCAUUUGGCAUCUUCUUGGGGAGAAUGUUGACGACAUACUCCUGGGACUCCCGGACGACGGCCAUUAGGUUCCGCGCAGUGAGCAGCGUCCCAUAAUGCCUCUCAUUAGCGUCUAUCUCAAAUAAUUUAUUGAGGCAGGCAAAAGACGCCUUUUCCACCCAGUCAACUAUGUGGCCCUUCCUUUCCGGACCUGCAUUAUCAGCAACAAAAGAUAAGAAUGCCAUCCGGAAAGAUCAACAAAAAGACAACAAGGUAAAAGCCGGAUAAAACCAGCAAGAAAACUUACCUGGAAGCACCGUGGAGUAGUUUGGAGAAAAAGGCCUCGCCGGAUGCUCCAAUAGCCCCACCCACGCUCCCCGGACCAUCACAUGUCCCUUCGCCCCUCCCUUCGUUGAAUCCGACAGCUCCGUCACCAAUUGAAGGGAGGGUAGGUGAGCAGACAUGCUAAAGAUAUCAUUUUUUCCAUUCUUCAGGGAGUAGACAAAAAGAACCUCCAGCAGUGAGAGGUCGAGAUUGUACAGCAUGUUUAUAAUGCUGCAUCCCAUCAGCACCCGGACUAUGUUGGGAUGGAUGAAGGCGGGUGGAAUCUGGGAGAAAUGGAAGAAUUCCUUGAACAACGCCGGAAGAGGGAACCGGAGCCCCGUGUUGAAUUGAUCUUUUGAGAAAAUGAUGGCAUUUCCUUCAGCUUUCUCAGUAGGCACAAGCUCCUCCUCAUUAAGCAAUUCCACAGUCACACCAUUUGGGAUGCAGAACCGAUCCCUGAACUCCUUCGCAUUCAGUUUGUCUAUAGAUUUCUCACGAGCAUCGCUGGCCUGGACAGAUGAGACAGCUUUCUUCUUUGCAGACAUUUUUUUAAACCUGAGGCUGAACCGAAACCUACAUACAAGAAGUGCAACAGUCAAACACAGCAAUCCAAAAACUCACAAACCCUAACCAAAAACAGUCAAAAACACCCUAAAAAAAUCCCAGAAAACCAACAAAUACCAAACAUUCAACACACAGUAGCAAGCGACUUGCCCAAACAAGUCAGAAACGAAGCCAAUAAACAAACAAGCGCAACAAAGGGAAAAACAAACGCAAAAUGCAUGUACCGAAUGGAAAUCUGAAGAAGAAAGGUUGCUGUUGCAAACACGAAAAUCACCGGCAGAAAGGUUCUAGGGCUUUACUCAGAAAAGCAAAGGAGAGCACAGAAGGAAGAAGAAGCAAAACUCUCAGAAAAAAACGCAGUAGGAAAAAAUGCAACAGAAGACACAGUAUGAUAUUUAUAAGGGACAGCCCCUCGGAAAGCCAAAACGCACAGCUACGCUAUCAUUGAAACGACAUGCUGCCUAGGAAUACCCAGAGUCGGCGGCUCAUCAUAAAUGCCUUUUUUGGCUCCCGCACCCCUACUCGCCACGUGGCCCAACCAGACGAAAGACGACUUCAGUUUCAAAAAACCAAUUAUUUUUAACCCGCCCAUUUUUUGCUCGGGCAAAAUAGGCAAGUUAAAAAGGGGGCAUUGUAGGGACCCCUCCUCCUGAGAACACGUGCCACACACCUCAUAUUGACACGUAGCACGCAGACUAUCCGGAUGACCCCAUCUGGAUACACAUGACGCGCUCUCAUAUCCGGCCUGCCUCAAGGAAGGUCAAACGACACUUAUAAACAUAAAACAUCCGGACGGCUUCCACGAUACAUCCGGAUGACCAACGUAGUCCAUCCGGAUAUAAUGGUCCGGAUCAUUGACUGAAGUAAGCAAGUCUCACACGUUAUCACAAUAGCCUGUCAUGGCCCACGUUCCACCACCUACAGAGUGAAGGGACAAGAUGAAGUGACAACAAGUCACUUCCCACGAUCACCUACCACGAUUUCUGUCAGCCGCCUGUAGGGUGAUGGUAGCCCUGCCACCACCUAAUGUCAUCAUAACAACACAAAAUAUCUCCCUGCCAUUAAAGAGGGAAUCAAAGCUUCUGAUACUAUAUAUAUCAACCUUCACACAAAGAGGAAGGUAAGCUUGCAAUACCUAGUAAAAAGCCAACUGAUUAUCUCUCUCUAACCAUGGCUGACAAAACCAUCGGAGGGUGCGUCCGGACACCCUGUUCGGACGUCUUUUGCAGGUAAACCGACUGAAUCAAGAACCUGUAUUGGUUGAGAACUACGCAUCCAUCCAUUUGGCAACUACGUGGAUC